GAUGAACGCUGGCGGCGUGCCUAAUACAUGCAAGUCAAGCGAACAGAUAAGGAGCUUGCUCCUUUGACGUUAGCGGCGGACGGGUGAGUAACACGUGGAUAACCUACCUAUAAGACUGGGAUAACUUCGGGAAACCGGAGCUAAUACCGGAUAACAUAUUGAACCGCAUGGUUCAAUAGUGAAAGGCGGCUUUGCUGUCACUUAUAGAUGGAUCCGCGCCGUAUUAGCUAGUUGGUAAGGUAACGGCUUACCAAGGCAACGAUACGUAGCCGACCUGAGAGGGUGAUCGGCCACACUGGAACUGAGACACGGUCCAGACUCCUACGGGAGGCAGCAGUAGGGAAUCUUCCGCAAUGGGCGAAAGCCUGACGGAGCAACGCCGCGUGAGUGAUGAAGGUCUUCGGAUCGUAAAACUCUGUUAUCAGGGAAGAACAAAUGUGUAAGUAACUGUGCACAUCUUGACGGUACCUGAUCAGAAAGUCACGGUUUACUACGUGCCAGCAGCCGCGGUAAUACGGAGGUGGCAAGCGUUAUCCGGAAUUAUUGGGCGUAAAGCGCGCGUAGGCGGUUUUUUAGUCUGAUGUGAAAGCCCACGGCUCACCCGUGGAGGGUCAUUGGAAACUGGAAAACUUGAGUGCAGAAGAGGAAAGUGGAAUUCCAUGUGUAGCGGUGAAAUGCGCAGAGAUAUGGAGGAACACCAGUGGCGAAGGCGACUUUCUGGUCUGUAACUGACGCUGAUGUGCGAAAGCGUGGGGAUCAAACAGGAUUAGAUACCCUGGUAGUCCACGCCGUAAACGAUGAGUGCUAAGUGUUAGGGGGUUUCCGCCCCUUAGUGCUGCAGCUAACGUAUUAAGCACUCCGCCUGGGGAGUACGACCGCAAGGUUGAAACUCAAAGGAAUUGACGGGGACCCGCACAAGCGGUGGAGCAUGUGGUUUAAUUCGAAGCAACGCGAAGAACCUUACCAAAUCUUGACAUCCUUUGACUGCUCUAGAGAUAGAGUCUUCCCCUUCGGGGGACAAAGUGACAGGUGGUGCAUGGUUGUCGUCAGCUCGUGUCGUGAGAUGUUGGGUUAAGUCCCGCAACGAGCGCAACCCUUAAGCUUAGUUGCCAUCAUUAAGUUGGGCACUCUAAGUUGACUGCCGGUGACAAACCGGAGGAAGGUGGGGAUGACGUCAAAUCAUCAUGCCCCUUAUGAUUUGGGCUACACACGUGCUACAAUGGACAAUACAAAGGGCAGCUAAACCGCGAGGUCAAGCAAAUCCCAUAAAGUUGUUCUCAGUUCGGAUUGUAGUCUGCAACUCGACUACAUGAAGCUGGAAUCGCUAGUAAUCGUAGAUCAGCAUGCUACGGUGAAUACGUUCCCGGGUCU
Molecule: ribosomal RNA, 1371 nt
Filed under: uncultured bacterium
Lineage: Bacteria
Description: bacterial SSU rRNA
Rfam family: Bacterial small subunit ribosomal RNA
Source: RNAcentral